This 410-nucleotide ribosomal RNA is filed under the name uncultured bacterium. RNAcentral's name for it is "bacterial SSU rRNA". It matches the Rfam family "Bacterial small subunit ribosomal RNA", at positions 355 to 774 of the family's 1533-position model. The record is from RNAcentral.
UCGAGAAUCUUCGGCAAUGGGCGCAAGCCUGACCGAGCGACGCCGCGUGGAGGAUGAAGGCCUUCGGGUUGUAAACUCCUGUCGAGGGGGAGGAAGGCGUAAGCUUGACCUAUCCCUGGAGGAAGCACGGGCUAAGUUCGUGCCAGCAGCCGCGGUAAGACGAACCGUGCGAACGUUAUUCGGAAUCACUGGGCUUAAAGCGCGUGUAGGCGGAUGGGGACGUCGGUCGCUGAAAUCCCCCGGCUCAACCGGGGAACGGGCGCCGAAACGCCCCGUCUGGAGGGACGUAGGGGGACCUGGAACUUCCGGUGGAGCGGUGAAAUGCGUUGAGAUCGGAAGGAACGCCCGUGGCGAAAGCGAGGUCCUGGACGUCUUCUGACGCUGAGACGCGAAAGCUAGGGUAGCGAACG